This 433-nucleotide ribosomal RNA is filed under the name uncultured bacterium. RNAcentral's name for it is "partial 16S ribosomal RNA". It matches the Rfam family "Bacterial small subunit ribosomal RNA", at positions 29 to 507 of the family's 1533-position model. The record is from RNAcentral.
GCGAACGCUGGCGGCAGGCCUAACACAUGCAAGUCGAACGAACCUUUCGGGGUUAGUGGCGGACGGGUGAGUCACACGUGGGAACGUGCCUUUAGGUUCGGAAUAACUCAGGGAAACUUGUGCUAAUACCGAAUGUGCCCUUCGGGGGAAAGAUUUAUCGCCUUUAGAGCGGCCCGCGUCUGAUUAGCUAGUUGGUUGAGGUAAUGGCUCACCAAGGCGACGAUCAGUAGCUGGUCUGAGAGGAUGAUCAGCCACAUUGGGACUGAGACACGGCCCAAACUCCUACGGGAGGCAGCAGUGGGGAAUCUUGCGCAAUGGGCGAAAGCCUGACGCAGCCAUGCCGCGUGAAUGAUGAAGGUCUUAGGAUUGUAAAAUUCUUUCACCGGGGACGAUAAUGACGGUACCCGGAGAAGAAGCCCCGGCUAACUUCGUG